Molecule: long non-coding RNA, 280 nt
Organism: Gambusia affinis (western mosquitofish)
Lineage: Eukaryota; Metazoa; Chordata; Actinopteri; Cyprinodontiformes; Poeciliidae
Exons: 3
Source: RefSeq, a predicted model, not a curated record
GUUAUUUCCAAGCUGUGUUUGUAGUUUCGUAUCGGCUAUCAGAUAUGACAUCAAGACGUGAAGGGAAUUCCAUACUUGUGGACAGGAUUACCUGCUCAGACCCGUGCAGCUUUAAAUCAGGAGCAGCAUUUCAGCCCUCAGGUGACAAAGGUGUGGCUCUGACUACAACCUCAGCAUCUCAUUAUGAAUCAGAAGCCCGGGGAUGCAGUCACAACCAGGGUCUAGUGAAGGCCUGACAACCAUAUGCUGCAUAUUGAAACACCAAAAACAAUAUAAAGGA